CACACUCUAAUGAGAAAUGGGUUGACGCCAAAAAGCGAAAACAUUUCAAACCAUCUCAAUAUAGUAGAAUUUGAAGUGUUCAUUUUACAAGCAAUGACUAUCAAUUAAUAUGUCCAGAUGCGAGCAGACUACUUUUAAGAUUGAACGCUAUUUCUUAAAUAUUGCCAUCACUUCCUGCAUAUUACCAUACUGCAGUUAAGAAGCCUAGAAAAAACCCUACUAUAAGAAUUCCUACCCAAACGAAUGAUAUUGUUGAUGAUAAUAUUCUUGAACUGGCUGAACCUAGUGAUGUUUUAACUGAGCCGUUUAAUUUAUGGUAAACCAAAAAAAUGAAACGCAGAAGACUCCAGCCACAGAAGCUCUAGUUAUUAUGUUAGUUGGAUUGAAAGGUAAGUAGAAAUGUCCGAUUGCUUACUAUUCACAAUCCAAAAGUUCUGCAAUUAUACAAUCCGGUCUUGUAACUACCUACUACAAUUACAAUGCAAAAGAUGUUGGUGUUCGAGUUUGGGGGCGUUACAUGUGAUGGUGCAAGUACAAACUUAUCUACUAUGACAAAUCUUGGAUGUAAACUUCAUGGAUCUUAUGAUGAGGUGGUAGAAUAUUUUAUUAUUCCUUGAAUAGAUUGGAAGAUUUACUAUAUACCUGAUGCUUGUCAUAAUAUUUAAUUAGCAAGAAAUGCGCUCAGUACUUACAGGAAAUGCUUACAGUGAUGAUGGUGUAAUUAAUUGGGCAUUUAUUCAAGAUCUAAACAAAGGAGGAAAAAUAUUAUGAAAGUGAAAUUGGCAGUUCAGACAUUUAGUUCAUCUACCUACUGAUGAUGCUAUACAGUUUUUUAGAACAUUAAAUGAACCUGCAUUUGAUGACAGUGAAGCAACCGAAGAUUUCAUAAGGGUGACUAAAUUCUCGUGAUCCAUUUGGUAAGGUCAAACAUAGAGGGUCAAAAACUAAUAUGGACAAAACAAUCAAAUCAAAGUAUCACUGUUUUUAUUUAUUGGUUCAUAUUAACAACUAACAAGUAAUGGUAUAAGUCACAAGUAACAUACAGGGAAUUAAUACCUUUAAAAAAUGAUAGAUUAGAAAAAAUCCAAGUGAAUCGCUAACAGAAUAGGUCCAUUUUUUAUAACUUCAGGAGAAACAAAAAACAAAAUUAUAACACGUCCUUUUUCUGUAGUAAACUGAAAUUUCCAAACACUAUAUUUAGCGCUUGGAUGUCGGAUUUGACUCCUUUCUGCAGUAAACGAUGUAUUUACGCGUGCUUAAUGAAAAAUGAUAACAAAAUCGAAAUUGAUAAAAAUGGACUUGUUCCCUUUCUGCAGUUAGCGAAUUAUUAGUUACUAAUAAACUUGUUUGUUAUAACUUAUAAAUAAUAUUAUACAGAGCGGUCAUCCAUUAGACCGCCAUUUAUCAGUAGUGAGGCGAUUUGUUUACAUUUCAAUUAUGUGAUAACAUUAACAGUUAAAAUGUAUAUUAUUAUAUAAUAUUCAUUUCCAUUAUUUUAAAUACUAGGCUUUGUGUUCUUCAAUUUUUGUCACAGCUUCUUUACUUUUUAAUUCUCAGUUUUAUGUUAAUAUUUCUUUAACUUUAUGUUACAAUAUACGAUAUUGAGAUUUUAAAAAUGUAUUUAAUACUAUUAUGAUAGUUAAUAUUCAGUUACUUAGAAGAUUAUUUACAUAGAAUGUAUUUCAAUGUACAAAAUGUUAACUUGAAGCAUAUAAUUGAAUAAAAUAGGUUUAUUUAUUAGAUAUUCAUACCUGCAUAAUAUCUGACAUGUUCAAAAUUAUUAGAUACUUACAUUGUAUGUUAUGCAUAUUUAUUUAAUAUGAAAGUUAUUCAUUGUAUACAUUUUGUAAUUUUUUUUAAACU
Long non-coding RNA from Acyrthosiphon pisum (pea aphid), 1863 nucleotides. RefSeq lists it as uncharacterized. The transcript has 5 exons. The record is from RefSeq and is a predicted model, not a curated record. Lineage: Eukaryota; Metazoa; Arthropoda; Insecta; Hemiptera; Aphididae.